This is a non-coding RNA of Anneissia japonica, 73 nucleotides long. The record is from the annotation of a RefSeq genome assembly. Lineage: Eukaryota; Metazoa; Echinodermata; Crinoidea; Comatulida; Comatulidae.
GCCUCUGUGAUCUAAUGGUUAUGACGCUCGAUUUGGCAGCGAGAGGUCGCAGGUCCGAAUCCUGUCAGAGGCA